CACGUAGGGUGCGAGCGUUGUCCGGAAUUAUUGGGCGUAAAGAGCUCGUAGGCGGUGUGUCGCGUCGGCCGUGAAAACCUGCAGCUUAACUGUGGGCUUGCGGUCGAUACGGGUAUCACUGGAGUUCGGCAGGGGAGACUGGAAUUCCUGGUGUAGCGGUGAAAUGCGCAGAUAUCAGGAGGAACACCGGUGGCGAAGGCGGGUCUCUGGGCCGAUACUGACGCUGAGGAGCGAAAGCGUGGGGAGCGAACAGG
RNAcentral lists this ribosomal RNA (254 nucleotides) under uncultured bacterium. RNAcentral describes it as "partial 16S ribosomal RNA". It matches the Rfam family "Bacterial small subunit ribosomal RNA", at positions 524 to 776 of the family's 1533-position model. The record is from RNAcentral.